GGUUUCCGUAGGUGAACCUGCGGAAGGAUCGUUGUCGA
Molecule: ribosomal RNA, 38 nt
Filed under: Ficus ampelas
Lineage: Eukaryota; Viridiplantae; Streptophyta; Magnoliopsida; Rosales; Moraceae
Description: partial 18S ribosomal RNA
Source: RNAcentral